RNAcentral lists this ribosomal RNA (872 nucleotides) under uncultured bacterium. RNAcentral's name for it is "bacterial SSU rRNA". It matches the Rfam family "Bacterial small subunit ribosomal RNA", at positions 572 to 1444 of the family's 1533-position model. The record is from RNAcentral.
CAGGCGGUUAGAUAAGUNUGAAGUUAAAGGCUGUGGCUUAACCAUAGUACGCUUUGGAAACUGUUUAACUUGAGUGCAGAAGGGGAGAGUGGAAUUCCAUGUGUAGCGGUGAAAUGCGUAGAUAUAUGGAGGANCACCGGUGGCGAAAGCGGCUCUCUGGUCUGUAACUGACGCUGAGGCUCGAAAGCGUGNGGAGCGAACAGGAUUAGAUACCCUGGUAGUNCACGCCGUAAACGAUGAGUGCUAGGUGUUAGGCCCUUUCCGGGGCUUAGUGCCGCAGCUAACGCAUUAAGCACUCCGCCUGGGGAGUACGACCGCAAGGUUGAAACUCAAAGGAAUUGACGGGGGCCCGCACAAGCGGUGGAGCAUGUGGUUUAAUUCGAAGCAACGCGAAGAACCUUACCAGGUCUUGACAUCCCGAUGCCCGCUCUAGAGAUAGAGUUUUACUUCGGUACAUCGGUGACAGGUGGUACAUGGUUGUCGUCAGCUCGUGUCGUGAGAUGUUGGGUUAAGUCCCGCAACGAGCGCAACCCUUAUUGUUAGUUGCCAUCAUUCAGUUGGGCACUCUAGCGAGACUGCCGGUAAUAAACCGGAGGAAGGUGGGGAUGACGUCAAAUCAUCAUGCCCCUUAUGACCUGGGCUACACACGUGCUACAAUGGCUGGUACAACGAGUCGCAAGUCGGUGACGGCAAGCUAAUCUCUUAAAGCCAGUCUCAGUUCAGAUUGUAGGCUGCAACUCGCCUACAUGAAGUCGGAAUCGCUAGUAAUCGCGGAUCAGCACGCCGCGGUGAAUACGUUCCCGGGCCUUGUACACACCGCCCGUCACACCACGAGAGUUUGUAACACCCGAAGUCGGUGAGGUAACCUUUUA